Molecule: long non-coding RNA, 278 nt
Organism: Zalophus californianus (California sea lion)
Lineage: Eukaryota; Metazoa; Chordata; Mammalia; Carnivora; Otariidae
Exons: 3
Source: RefSeq, a predicted model, not a curated record
ACCGUUUCCGGUGAAGGUGAAAAUUGUUGGGGCCGUUCACUGGCAGCACAUCCUGGAGAUGGGAACCUGAGAAAACUGACAGAAGCUGCCAAAAGUCAAUGUACCUCAUGGAUUGCCUACACCACAGAUGGACUGCUCCUAUGCCUAUCUUUGACUUGCCUCUACCAAUCACUCUCCAUGAGAGAAGAGGUUUUGAAGUCAUGUGCACUGCUGUAUUCUCAUUGUCUACAAAUUUCAGAGUCUUUUUUUAGGUAUUUAUUAAAUUUUUGUUGCAUGAA